RNAcentral lists this ribosomal RNA (1470 nucleotides) under metagenome. RNAcentral's name for it is "bacterial SSU rRNA". It matches the Rfam family "Bacterial small subunit ribosomal RNA". The record is from RNAcentral.
AGAGUUUGAUCCUGGCUCAGGACGAACGCUGGCGGCACGCUUAACACAUGCAAGUCGAACGAGAGAAGAGGAGCUUGCUUUUCUGAUCUAGUGGCGGACGGGUGAGUAACACGUGAGCAAUCUGCCUUUCAGAGGGGGAUACCGAUUGGAAACGAUCGUUAAUACCGCAUAACAUAAUUGAACCGCAUGAUUUGAUUAUCAAAGAUUUAUCGCUGAAAGAUGAGCUCGCGUCUGAUUAGCUAGCUGGUAAGGUAACGGCUUACCAAGGCGACGAUCAGUAGCCGGACUGAGAGGUUGAUCGGCCACAUUGGGACUGAGACACGGCCCAGACUCCUACGGGAGGCAGCAGUGGGGAAUAUUGCACAAUGGAGGAAACUCUGAUGCAGCGAUGCCGCGUGAGGGAAGAAGGUUUUAGGAUUGUAAACCUCUGUCUUCAGGGACGAAAAAAGACGGUACCUGAGGAGGAAGCUCCGGCUAACUACGUGCCAGCAGCCGCGGUAAUACGUAGGGAGCGAGCGUUGUCCGGAAUUACUGGGUGUAAAGGGAGCGUAGGCGGGAUCGCAAGUCAGAUGUGAAAACUAUGGGCUUAACCCAUAAACUGCAUUUGAAACUGUGGUUCUUGAGUGAAGUAGAGGUAAGCGGAAUUCCUAGUGUAGCGGUGAAAUGCGUAGAUAUUAGGAGGAACAUCAGUGGCGAAGGCGGCUUACUGGGCUUUAACUGACGCUGAGGCUCGAAAGCGUGGGGAGCAAACAGGAUUAGAUACCCUGGUAGUCCACGCCGUAAACGAUGAUUACUAGGUGUGGGGGGACUGACCCCUUCCGUGCCGCAGCAAACGCAAUAAGUAAUCCACCUGGGGAGUACGACCGCAAGGUUGAAACUCAAAGGAAUUGACGGGGGCCCGCACAAGCAGUGGAGUAUGUGGAUUAAUUCGAAGCAACGCGAAGAACCUUACCAGGUCUUGACAUCGUAUGCAUAGCUCAGAGAUGAGUGAAAUCUCUUCGGAGACAUAUAGACAGGUGGUGCAUGGUUGUCGUCAGCUUGUGUCGUGAGAUGUUGGGUUAAGUCCCGCAACGAGCGCAACCCUUACUGUUAGUUGCUACGCAAGAGCAUUCUAGCAGGACUGCCGUCGACAAAACGGAGGAAGGUGGGGAUGACGUCAAAUCAUCAUGCCCCCUAUGACCUGGGCCUCACACGUACUACAAUGGCUGUCAACAGAGGGAAGCAAAGCCGCGAGGUGGAGCGAACCCCUAAAAGCAGUCUUAGUUCGGAUUGUAGGCUGCAACCCGCCUACAUGAAGUCGGAAUUGCUAGUAAUCGCAGAUCAGCAUGCUGCGGUGAAUACGUUCCCGGGCCUUGUACACACCGCCCGUCACGCCAUGGGAGUCGGUAACACCCGAAGCCUGUAGUCUAACCGCAAGGAGGACGCAGUCGAAGGUGGGAUUGAUGACUGGGGUGAAGUCGUAACAAGGUA